Molecule: ribosomal RNA, 89 nt
Filed under: uncultured archaeon
Lineage: Archaea
Description: partial 16S ribosomal RNA
Source: RNAcentral
CUCCCUCGUUGCUGAUCUCAGGUUCGAUAAUGCCAAUAUCGCACCACCUCGCCUAAAACCAACUUCGAUGAAGCGGCGGGCGGUGUGUG